Numida meleagris (helmeted guineafowl) is the source of this 10273-nucleotide long non-coding RNA. RefSeq lists it as uncharacterized. The transcript is spliced from 4 exons. The record is from RefSeq and is a predicted model, not a curated record. Lineage: Eukaryota; Metazoa; Chordata; Aves; Galliformes; Numididae.
AAAGAGGAUAAAAAGGAAAAAAUCGUCUUCGCAAUACAUGCUGUGUUGAACUGGUUGCAAUGCAACAUCCAGACCAGAGCCACAGGUACCAACAUUGACCCACGGGGGAGACUCAGAGAGGGACACCUUCAACCUGAGAUUUGGAGUCCAAAUCCACUUCUGGCACCUAGCUGCACAAGAAGGGAAUGCUCGCAUACAUUGUAGAUUGUGAGAACUGCCUGAAGAAGGGAAUUGCAAUAUGUGCUAAAAAUACUGUUGAGCACAUGGAAAUACAGUGUUAGUUAUCGCAUAUGGAGGGGAAGAAGGAAUGUCAGACCCAUUAGAAGCAACUGUAGAAGAGGGACAGCUUAGCACUGAAUGUUCUGAGGUAAGACUUUUUAAGUUGCCAGCAAGAUAAGAUGGGACUUGGUUGCCAUUCUUUACCCCUCCCUCCCUUUUGUCCCUCACAGGAUGAGAAAAAAAUCUGUUUGGAAGCGAGUAAUAAGUAAAUAAAGCAUACAGGUAAGCAUGUGAACCAUAUUAAGUAUCAGUUUUCUGCUACAUGUUUUAUCUCUGUAACUCCUUGGGGAUGUUGUUUUGUCACAGGAAGAGUCAUUUAUUAUUUAGCUGUAUUUAAAGUCACUCAUCUGUGGAGAAACGUGGAAGGGGAUGCUGUUUGAUAUGGAAGGACUGCGGUGACACUUGCUCCCCUGCAGCCCGUCAUGUGCCCUGGCUCUGCUGUCCCAACUCUGGGUGGCACACAAUGACUGUGAUUUAAGAGAGCAGCAUAAGAGAAAGGUGCUUCUGACAAUCUUUUUAGAAAAAGUGCCCACGACCCUUUGCAAAAUUCAGAUUACAGAGAGCAGCAGCUGCUGAAUUAUUUACAUCUGUACAUUCAGGUACUACAAUUAUAUAAUCAGAAGAGAGAGUUACUUGUGAAGGACAAUAAAGUAAUAAACAAAAUGUUCUGAAUAAAUAACAAACUAACCAAUGUGAUGAGAUUUCAGCCUUAGAGAGCUAUCAAGCUAAUUCCUGCCCAUUUUACUCAUACGAGUAGUUUCAUUAAGAGCAAACUGCUUCUUAGUAAAUUGCCAGUUGUAAUAAAAACAAUUAAACUUGUUGUUUUAGUUCUUCUUGUUCUGCAUUUUUAUAAUUCUAGUCAUAACCAUUAAAACUUGUACUUUUAUACUCCCCUGUUGCAAAAUACUUUUCAUAUCACCAUUUAACCACUCAGUUUCCCUGCUCUGCAGGACUCUGAGUUUAGCACAUGCAAAAGAGUUAGAGCACAAGUAAAUACAUCCAGAACAGGUGCACGAGAGGGAUGAUGCAACUGUCUGUUCACUCUGCCUACAGGAGGACGACGGCGCUGCAGAUCUGUGAGGGCAGUGGAUCCAGAAAGCGGGACCUGGUGAAUUCCACACCAAAAUGUUGACAGCAUCUGAUGCACACAAGAGGUAUGCUGAGCACCCAGAACUGCCUGGACGCAAAGGACGUCCAGGACCUUUGCUGGUCGCAACACCACGCAAAGACAGUAAUUAUUUACUUGCCAUAAAAAAGAGAUGUGUCCUAUAAACGUACAUCUGAAAGUUACACCCCCAAAUCAACACAACAAUAAAUGUUUUGUAACUUUUCUAUUAAAGCUGCUCUCCCUUUUCUUAUCCCUUAAGUAGCAGUAUUAGUGUCAUAGUGACUUCUGUCAAGUUUUUCUAUUAACAUUACCUUUUUUUAAAAAAAUUUGUCAUAUGUUUAUAACAGUUCUCCGUGCUACAUAGAAAAAGAGGUGGCUAUGUAUGUAUUAGCCUUGAGCAGCAAGUUUCUUCUAGAAGAGUUGUUUGUUUCUUUUCUUUGUACUGUUCAAGAAGCACUUAGAGCCACUCAGGUGAAUAUCUUGCUAAAAAAUCAUGAUCUUUAAUAUGCAUGUGUACAAUACUUAUAAAAAUCUGAGAAAAUGAGUUAGCAGAAUUUUGUAUGAUGCUGUCGGUUACAUUGUCCCUGAACAACCGUACAUUCAGGAAGUGGCUGGAAGUUGUUUGUCCUGCCCAUGAGAGGUGACACUCCAGAAGACUCCUUUGUUCUUGUUCUUCUCAGUAGUAUUGCUGAGAGGGAGACUGGCUCCGCACGCAGUGUGACAGCAACGGAGGGAACAAUUUCCCUCUACUGCCAUUGUGCAUGAAAGAGGAAAAGGAAGAAACUCCCACUUAAGAAAGUGACACGGAAUUUGGAAACUCUGCCAUUUACCAGCUACAGUCUCAUUAGUUGAAAAAAAAAAAAAGAACAAAAAGAAAAAGAAAAGCAAGACUGCUAAAAUUUAAUCCUUAUCUUCUUCACACUUGAAGCCAAAGCCAUCUUCGAUUUCUAUACUAGAAAUUCCAAAGGCAGUAUGUAUAAAGUCAUGUUUAACCCUCCAGGUCAGUUUGAAACUGCAUGUAUUGCUUGAGAAAGACAGCACAGCCUGUUUAGACACCUGUAAGUGUGAAAGUAAGAAAUUCAGUUUCUUCUAGGCUUCACUACUCUUGUCUGAAUAAAAAAAAAAAAAUCAAGAAAACCCGCUAACUGUAAUAAUUUCACAAUCUGAUGAGCCCAGAGGUAAUAAAACAGACUUCUAACACAACACUUUUGCAGAGACUGUCAUUUGGUCAAAUUGAAAGCUGGGAAUCUUUUCCAUGGUUUCCAAGGUCAAGACAACCCCGUGUACAAUCAGAUCUUCAUAGCCUGGGUUGUCAGUGUUUCAGGUGUACUUUUGGAAGCUCUUGCCACAAUCCCUUAACAUGUUGUGCACAUUGAGGAUAACAUGUAAAGCAAAGCCUGUGCCCUUCAUCUCACCCUCUGUUGCUCUUUCUUCUUCAUCUAGUCACACUGAACAUUCAGCAGACCAUGAGCUGCAACUAGGAAAGAGUCCUCCUGUGUCCUGGCUUCUGCCUGACCCUCACAGGUUAGCUGAGCAUCCAGGUGGACCCUCACAUUUGGAACCUAAAUAACAAAAGCAGAUGGGAAUGUUCUACACUGUAGACUCUGCAGUAACACAGCACAGAGGCUCACAGAGGCAUUCUACCUGUCCCUUGCUGGUAUAACCCUCCAGGUGAGAGCAUUAAGUGCUUAAGGUUGCUCUGUGUUGCCAAAAUAGCAAAAAGUAAGCAGUAAACAGUACGAACAACAGUGGUAAUAACCUCUGCACUCAUGUCAUAAGCAGCCUGAAGCUGGAGAAACACCUCUAAGGAGAAAAAAGCAGGAAUUCCAUAUUUCCACUGUUUGUCCUCCAACCUCUGAGCUGAAUGCCCAAGAUUAAUUUUGUCUUUUUAAUAUAGCUGUUCACAGGAACCAGACUUCACUGCUUCAGAUAAUCCAGACAGCUCUUCCCUCAAUAGCCACACAUGGCCUUUACGCAACACCACUACAUUUUUCUGACUGAGAGCUGGAGAGCUUUGCUUGCUCUGAGCUUUACAUGCUCUUACUACUUCCCACAGCCAAUCUUCCAGGUGCCUGGCAUCUUUAUUCCCAGUAAUCAGGCAUACAAAACAAUUCAAGUUUUAUGAAGUGCGGCUUUCUAUAAGGAUGGAGUUAUCAUCACAAAACAAACUGCUGUUUAUUAUUAGACUCGACAGAUUUUGACAAGUUUAUUAGUUUUAGAUGUGGAACUUAACUAACUCCCAUUCCUUGACUAUGACAAAAGUGACUAUGGCCUCCUAAGCACUUAAUAAAAAUGAUGAAACAACAAACUAGCUGAAAUGAAAGGAAAUGCUGUAGGAUUAGCUCUGCAUUUAAAAUGAGCUUUUACUGGAUUAUUUAGCAAACACAAGGGUAAACGCUUGUCAGAUGGUUCUUUUGAAAGAGUAGAACAAGUAGGACAGUUUGGGGGGACAUAAUAUGAUUAGGAUUAAAUCUUUUAAAGGAAAGUUCCUUAUAACACUGUAGCUGAAAACAAACAAGGCAUACAAUUUUCCAUUUGUCCAUAAAGGAUAUUGCAACAAUUUCUGCAGCAAAACUGCAAACACUGAUUUGGAGCUCUUCAUGGUUCUAAGUGUGGAGUGCUCUGUUGUGCACAGAUGAUCUUCAAGUGCAAAAGACUGCUUCUUUAUUUUGCAUGAUGAAACAUUUCCAGUAGUUUUAUAGCAUUCAACAGCACUAUUUAUGGACAAAGGCCAGAUUGAAAUAUCUGUGUUCACAGCUACUUAGCUUUUAUCCUCAGCCCUUCUCAAUUUUUCUUCAGUUUUAUCCUACUUGUGACCAUAUAAACUACAUGAGCCAUUAUACUUCUGUCAGGCUGGUGACCCUGUUGGAACUACCAGAAUCAAACUGGGCUGAUAAAUCUCAGUUUAGUAGCUGCUGCCAGACAUAACAAGGACAUCCAAUGAUGUCAGUGAAGCUCUCUGUGAAGCGAGGUGCAUCUCAAGGGGAGUAAGGGUAUCUCACUUUGUUCUGCUUGCUAGGAGUUUGAAAGUUAUGGGAGCAACAGCAGACAAUUAUUAAGAAGUCUUUUUGAGUGGUUAAACUCUUAUUAUAAAUACUUAAUUAGAGAAAGACUGAAUAAAUUAAAAUGAUUCUUCACAUGAAAGCUGACGCACAACAAUGAAAAAAUUACAUAUUCCAACAGAAAAUCCAUCAGUAUUUACCUCCUUCUGGUAAUACAAUCAUAGUUUAAGCUAAGCUCAUCAUAAAACUUAAAUGAACUGGAAAAAAGAACAUUCUGUUUUGCAACUGUUAAAAACAAUCGACUAUGAUGUAAAGCUCUCCAUUGACUCUGGCAGCAAGUCCUUGUUCCUUUAAACUCCUGUGUACACACUUUUUAAUCUUUUGUAAUAGGGACUUAAAAAGACAUUAAUUUGGCUUAGCUUGCAUGGGAAUGAUGCAAUCUAAAGAGCAGUGUUUGAAAAACAUUGUUUGCAAGGUUGUACUGGGUGUCAGCAACACUUAGAUCUGUCAAAAAUCUGAAACAUACACUCACUCUGGGAAAGACUGGAACAGGGAAGGAAAGUAUGGUGAUGCAGGUCCUCGAGCUGCAGCUCCAAGUGCAGCUCCAGAGUCCUAUGGCACGUGGCCAGAUCUGUGGGAAGGCCCAGAGCACACCGGCUUUCUCCAUUAGCAGAAAUCCCAGAAUAGAUCUGAUACAGAACAACAGUAAUUCUCACUUCAUCCGCACUAUUUAACAAAUAAACUUGCUUAACUAAUUUUUCUUGAAUUGUGUUCUGAACUAAAAUAAUUCUUGCUUCAGAGAAAUUGGAAUGAGGAAUAUUCUAAAUGCAUGAACAACUGAUAAGACAUGAAGAAAAUGACUUCCAUGUGUAUGUGAUUAUUAUAAAUGUGACUUCUCUUUUAAAGAGUGCUGUAAACAAACACAUAAUCCAGUUUAUUAACUGAAAUUGGCUGAAUUACAGCUUGAAAAUAAGAUACACAUGGUGGCAAUUACCAUACUUCACAACCGCUAGGCCUUUAAAAAGCCCAGUUCAUACGUUUUUCCUGCAGAAAUUGGAGUCUUUAGCUUUCCUCACUAGAAGAUUUUUAGAAGCAUCUUUUCAGAAUGCCUAUGCAAGCCAGACCACUGAUCCAUAAUUCAUCAUGGGGGGGCAGACCUAGGAUUUGUCACUUGCAUGAGUUGGGGUAGCAGUUGCAAAGGUAAAAUUAUAUAAAGAAAUAAAUCAUUUUUACAUGAGCUUUGAGAGAAAGGCUUCUUGCUCAGAAUUAAGAGAAAAGAUCCUUUUCGGCAGCAGCAGCUGCCAUUUAGGGCACUUGUGGUAUGGUCAGCCAAGUUCUUGCUCUGUUGCUUAGCCCAAGGACUGUUGCCUUGCUGGUGUAUAAGCCCUGAGCACAAGGUCACUGGCCAUUUUGGAGCAAGCCUCUCUCAGAGUGUCCGGAGGGGAAAGCUCUCAAACUACAAGACUGACAGUACAUUGCAACAUGUGGUUUGGGAGCGCUCUGUGCUGGCACAUACUGGUUAGAGUGGAGGGAGUAAGAUGGACCCUGUGGAAAGGAGCAGUGAUACAGGCCCGAACAAGAGCACUGCAUUCAACCUAAACAAAUGACUAUUGUUGCAGCGUUUAGACAGAUGGCUGGCAAAACCGGCCAGAGGCAAUUCAAAGAUAAUAUUCAUGUAAUGUCCAACUUCCCCACAUUAAGGAAAUGCAUGUUAAUCCAUUACUGGCACUAAUCCAGCACUGGGCUAUGACAUUAGAAGGACACAAGCAGAAAGCAGGGAUGAGUCUGCCUGGGGAUGACUAUUCACUGUCAGAAUGCAAGCACUUUCUGUAGCAGAUGUAGAAAAAUGAAGAAGAAAUGCUUCUUUUCUUUCCCCCUACAAAAUUAAGUUGUGGAACUCAUUGUUGCAGGGUGUUGGUCAUAAGUAAGUCUAAACAGGCUAGCAAAAGAAAUAAAAAAAAUGUAAAUGGCUGAGACUAUUGAGCACAAUAGACCAAAUGCAAUCUUGGACUCAGGAACUUCCCAAACUACUAAAAGAUGCAUAAGGAGAAUCAUAGAGUCAUAAAGGUUGGAAAAGACCCCUAGGAUCAUCAAGUCCAACCAUCAGCCCAUCCCCAUCAUGUCCACUAACCAUGUCCCUCAGUACCACAUCUACGCAUUUCCUGAACACCUCCAUGGAUGGUGACUACCACCUCCCUGAGCAGCCUGUGCCAAUGCCUCACCACUAUUUUUGAGUAUCCAUCCCACAGACCACAGCCCAGGUAUUUCAAGAAGAUCAUGUAGGACCUCUGGCCUGUGCCCACGUGAAUGUACAUGCUGUUUUCCUUCCUGCAUCAUCUCAGCAAGAAUGUGCACUGUAGGUACUGCAGCCGAAUCUUACUUCAGAUAUCAGGUCUGGUAAGCUUCAAGCUGGUAACUGAGAGCAGAACAGCCACUCACCUGUUCAGCCACAGAAUGACACCUUUCUGUCCAUGUUCACUUCACUUAGGUAUGAGGUGGGGCAGCGACGGGACUGUGCUGAGCUUUGGUUCUGCUUCCCAAGGCCUGGUGAUGCUGUGGGAUAUUGGAGGGAGCCUCCUUGUACAGACUGCUUUGCGCUGAGCAACUCAUCUGCCAUGGACAGAAACUUGGGACCCAAAUCUGUCCCAGGCUUAUGGCAAUUGCCAACACAACAACCAGUGAGGACAUAGUGCUUUGCAGACAUUAUUGAAGCAAUAAAUUUUGGGUAUUGCUAAUGUUAUCCUGGAAUAACUAAUAACCAGGAAGGAGAAAAAUAGACCUUACCUCUCCCAUCCUAUCAUGUGACCCAGAAAACCAGUGAAGCAUGGCAACAGACAUAAACAACCACACAAAUAAAGCUCUGUAUCUGAUUGACUCCAAUACCAAUGGCUCAUGGUUAAAGCAGCUGGAAAAGCAUGAAGAUAAAAUGUCAAGUUUAAAGCUAUAGGAACUAACCCUGGCCGCAGCUGGGAUUCUCAGGUGGCAUCUCCAUGACUGGAAAGCUCUACUUACUUCAACCCAAAGUAACUGCAUUUACAAGCACGAAAGAAUGCCCCAUGAAGGAGCUAUGGCAGCCUUGCCUCCCUUCCUGCACCGCACAAAGAGAGCCAUGUGGCAGGUUAGCUCACCAUGCUGCACUCUGGGCUUCAGGAAGGGGUUACUUUCCAUGCAACACAUGGGCUAAAAUUACACUGGGGCUAUGCCAGUCCCCACCUGCCCUGUACUGGUCAGUAACAGGAAGAUUUUUCCCUGUCUUAUGUUACAGCCUUCCUCUAGUUGCCAGAAAACUUCAGAUUAUUUUUGGGUUUGGUGCUGCUUCUAAUAUUACUUUUCAAUAAAGUGAAAUAAAUUGUCACUUGCAAAAGGGAUGGAGUUAAAAUUGAACCUGUUAUAAAUCUUAUAGAAAAAGUUGUUCAAAUGACUUCAGAUAGGGGGGCGAUUUGAAAACUCUAUGAAGGGCCUUAAAAUACAGUAUGAGUAGAGAGAUACCAUCCAGUUACUCCUCUAGUCCUACCAUUAUUCAUAACUACAAAAAACAGCAACAUAGGAGGGAUCAGAAAAGAUUAGAAAGAAUAAUGAGGGAAGGACCCAGGAAAGUGAGCAUUCCCAUCUCUCUCUCUACUUCAUUUCAAUCUACAAAGCCAAAGAUUGCUUUCUUGUCUGUAGAAAAUGAAAGAAAGUCCUGCUCUCUUCAGUUUCAAAGUGUGAUCUUUUCAUACCAGCGAUCUGCUUAGACAAGCAGAACAUUUCAGAUAAAUCUUUCUAAGUGGCUUUUUUUCCCCCUUUUCUGUAGGGCUCAGUAAAUGGUUGAGAUAUUUCUUGGAAGAAUAAUAGCUGAUCUUCUGCUAUGCCUCUGGGUUUGUGGCUGUUAAUUGGUGACAGCAAUUAAAAAUUAUUGCCUUGUAAAUUGUUUUCAUUACCAGACUAGUUCAUGGGUUGGAGGGAGGCAAGGGUGAAGAGGGCCAUGGCGUGCAGUGCAUUUCUCAGGUUGGCAGCCAGCGCUAGCACUAUUGCUGCUAUUUCUUCCUUCCUGUGAAGGCUGUGCAUGGAGCAGCACUCUGCAGCAGGACUGGAAGCAUGCAGUUCAUGUCAUGGCAGCUCCAAAGUGCUGGCAUAGUCCCUGAGUGUUUGUGUCCUCAUCUUUGCUGCUGGCUAGGCUGAGCCAGGAGCCAGCGGGUGGCUUUAUGGCCUGCUGGGUGUAUCAGCAGGACAUCAUGACUAAGGUUUCACAGCAAGCCCCAGCAGGCUCCUGGUGGCAGUGGUUCUGGCAUAACUUUCACUAAAACUAAUGGAAACAAAAUUAGAUGCAAACCUAUUUACGGAAACAAAGCCCCCAAACUGUAAUUUCUAAAACUCUUUCUUUGAUGCAGCUCCAUGGAAGCCAUAAGGAGGUCUGUUAAAUCCUUUACAAGACUGAAGGUGGCACAUAGCAGAAGAAACACACUUCAGAGUGGGCCUACUAUGACAAUUUCUAUAUCAUUCAAACUUCAGCAACUGUUUGACAUCUGUUUGACAUUUCUUCAGGAUCUAUAGCCACAGUCCGUUCUUUUCAGACCAGGCAUGGACAAUCUCAAACUGAAACAGUUUUCCAGCCAACACUGCAGGGGGCUUAAAAAAGAAAAAAGUCACUUCUCCCUUACAUAAUUAAGGGAAACCCACAAUGAGAAAGUCCUAACAAAUACUUCAUUUUAUACAAAAAUUCCAAGGGAAGAAGAGCAGAUAAUCAAGUAUAGUACAUGCCAAGAAAUGACCUUUAAGAAGGAUGAAACAUUAGAUAGCUUUCAAGGAUAGCCUAAGCAGAUAUUACUGUAAAAAUGGCUGUAAGAAUCUCAUGCUAGUGUUCCAAAUCUAACUGGAAGCAGAAUUUUGUCACAGUGAUGUAACUGUUGCCGUUAAAUACUUUACAUUGAGGAAAUGAGUUCCUUGUAGCUAAUAAAAACAUGCAUUUAAAGACAGCGCACUUUCCAGGUCAGCAUUACAUUUCACCCCCAGUUUCCCUUUUUUCACAUGCCCUGCAUUAUUAUUUCUUUCUUCCUGAAGGUUGGAAUCCUUGGGAGAGAAGGUAGACAGGCUCUACAUGAGCAUAACAGUCUAAACUUGUCCUUUUUUUUUUUUUUUUUUGCAAAAUGAGACCAAAGAGUUUAAUGAUUUACAAGACUACACCUCUGCUUGAGGCCUGCUUUAAGCUUUUAUUAACUAAAGGUGCAGGUCUUUGGUGAGAAGCACUGCAGGUUCCAAUAUAUUUAACGGAAAGCUUCAGAUAGAUGCAAUCUGGGGUCUUUAUGUACAGCUCAUUUAGAAAUGGCUGAAAAGUCUAAUGCUUAAAAAAAUUUCAGCAUGUUAUGGCAAGCCAAAUAAGAAAAAAUGUUAUAAGGAAAAAAAAAUAAAAAAACCCAUGCAUUCUCUCAGGAAUCUGUCUAAGGAAGUUAUGGGUGUAACAACUUCUCUCUUUGGCAUUGGUGAAAAUCUGUAGCAGGAAGUAUUGUGGAAUGUCCCUGGGGAAACUUACAGAAACAAAAGCUAUAAAGUUCAAAGAAGCUAUAGAUAAGAGAACUGAUACAGAUCCUUCAGAGAAACGAAUCUCCUAUUAGUCUGAAAGUCUAGAAGAAGAAGACGAGUGUUUUCCUUCUGGAAUUAACAGCUUACUGCAGAAGAAGAAAUGAAAUAGUAUAGAAAAGAUGGAUUCCCCCAGAGUGAUUCUUGGAACUUCUCACUUGGAAAAGGAGCGAGAGGAAUUUUCUUUUCCUGUGCUGAUAUUUUAUUAGUUAUGGCUGCAAUGGGAAUUAAGGAAACACAAAGAACUUCUAAGCCACAUGGGGAAGUAGUCAGGGUUCUGUGACUGACCACUCUUUUACAAUUUGUAUAAGAUGUGCAGGACUUCACA